GUGUGCUCCCUAAAUCCUGACAGAACCUCAACCACUAAAAGUGAAAAACAGACAUCAGUGUCAGUGCUUGGGAUCUCCCUGGUAAAGAAAGUGCAAAGCUUCACUUAGAAGUUCAAUGAGAAAGAGUCAAAGUGGGAUGAUAAGUAUGAAUGAUGAUUCAACGGAUGAUGGACUGGCCCACACUGUGAAAAUGAAGGGUGUUCAACCCAGUUACUUAAGAGGCUUGGGUGUUAAGACUGGAGGUCUAGUACAGAACACUCUGCUCUUCACUGAUGAUUCUCCAAUUAUGGAAGAACCUGUCCUCAAGAUUUUUGCUACACACAGUGUCACUGUGAAGAACCAAGCACACUGCAAGCAUCAAGGUCCCCUUGGCAAAACCAAGGCUCAAAGUCACAUCAAGGACAGUAUGGAGGAGACUGAGAAAGAAGAUGUGGUGUUGGAGAAAGCCAGUCUGGCAUCCUGAAAUGGGACCAAGUUCUGUAUUCACAUUUGCAAGCUGUGGACUCUGCUGCUGUCACACAGCCUUCAGAACUGCUGCAGGUGGUGGAUUUUUCAACUCCAGCUUCAGCUUAGCCUGGCAGCAAACCAGACCAUGGAGAUGCUCUGUAAGGACAUUAAAGACAUGAGUUGAAGACACCAAAAAGCAGAAAAAAAUGCACUAAUAUCCCUAUCUCUAGUACCAUUCACAGACAAAUACUACUUCUGAAUCUAAGCCAAGAGUGAAGCUGGUAUGGGAGAAGCAGCAUCGUUAGAGGAAGGAAUUCUAGCAAUGUUACCUUCAGGUAAGACCUGCAGUAUCUACCUAGCUGGAACUCCUAUCUGUAAGCUGUUAGUCUCUUUUGUAAAAAGAGUUUUGUUAGUACAUUUUGUAAAGCUUUAUCAGAUUAAUCUUCCACAAAAAAAAAAAGCAUUUAUCAUCACAGCUUGGCUGGGUUUUGUUCAGUUUUCAGAGGUUCUAAGAGGAGAUGGAGAACAGCACAAAACUGCACAAUCCUUGAGCCAAAUGUAAAUAAUUCUGCCAUCCUUCUUGCUAAGCUGUCCCCUGAAUGAGUAUGUCAGGUAUAAUGGUGUAAUAGGUGUUUUUUUGUCACCACAACUUCACAUCACACCUCACAUGUGGUUACAGAGGUCAUUUUUGGAAGAUUCCCUGAUUCCUGACAUGGAUUCAGUAGUCUGAGUAUGGGUUAGGACAGUUGAUCCUACAGUAAACAAACCAUCAUGUCUGAAACAGCCAUUUGCUGUAAAUAUGUGGUGUUACUGAGACAGGAUUAUAGUCCUUUCAGGCCCUCAGUGAGUACUCAGCCUUCUGGUACCAAAAGCUAAAGUAAUAUUAGCAGAGGUCAUGCUUCAAGAACACUAAUUAUGUCUUGAGAAUGAAGAUAUAAAAGAGAAUGACCUGCCAUGAAAUCCCUAGCUACCUUACUAAAUGAGGUAGCAAAGCAUCUAAAUCUUUAUUGUUUAGAACUUGUUUGCUUAAUUAUUAAUUUGAACAUUCAGGCUUUUUGUGUAAGAUACUCCCAGGUGACCAAGCAUGAUGCUGGCUGUCCUCAGUAGCAGUAAGGCCAGCAGGAAUAGGUGAUUCAUGAGUAGAGCAGAAGGACUUUCAGGUUUCACUGAGGAAGUCUCAGAUGGCAACAUCCAGUUGGCCAAUAUGGAAAUGGUCAUUUCUCUUCUCAGUCUGCACUUUGGAACUACACAACCCAUCCACAGGGGAUGGCUUUAUCAUUUAUUAUUAUGGUUUACUGUAUCAUCAAAUAAACACCAAAAAAAUCCCA
Long non-coding RNA from Lonchura striata (white-rumped munia), 1775 nucleotides. The record is from Ensembl. NCBI's taxonomy places the organism in Eukaryota, Metazoa, Chordata, Aves, Passeriformes, Estrildidae.